Oncorhynchus tshawytscha (Chinook salmon) is the source of this 2166-nucleotide long non-coding RNA. Lineage: Eukaryota; Metazoa; Chordata; Actinopteri; Salmoniformes; Salmonidae. The record is from Ensembl.
GGUAAAGGAGUCCGCCUGACUCUGGGGAAGGAGGUAAAGGAGUCCGCCUGACUCUGGGGAAGGAGGUAAAGGAGUCCGCCUGACUCUGGGGAAGGAGGUAAAGGAGUUCGCCUGACUCUGGGGAAGGAGGUAAAGGAGUUCGCCUGACUCUGGGGAAGGAGGUAAAGGAGUUCGCCUGACUCUGGGGAAGGAGAGUUCAUUGCCAAAAUCCCGAAGUAUCCCUUUAAAAAGAAGAUUAAAAAAACAAGCUAUGAAGGAAAAAUACUGGAGUUUUGGUGCAGGUACAGCAAAGUAGCGCCCCCCCCAAAAAUAUGGUGAUACUGUCAAAACGAUACAUCGUCAAAAAUAAUAUACCCAUAUGUAAUUAUUGAUUGUUCCCCAUCACUAUGAGAGGAAAUCGGUGAGCAACAAAUUCAACAGAGCUGGAGAUCUACCCAGCUCACCAGCUAAUCUACCCAGCUCACCAUCUGACGAUGAGAACACCAAGAGCUACGACAAUUCCAGCUGACACUCACUAGCACACACACACACACACGGUUAACCGUUACAUCUGAAAACACAGGGCUUCAAACACCUAGACACGGUAGGAUUGCAACACUAAACAGCUAUAAGGUGAGAGAACGAGGGCAUAAAGCAAAGGAGGGAAAAAACAGAAAGAAAGAGGAGGUACUGGGUGUUGGGGACAGAGGACAGAGGAGUAGACAGCAUAGACUUAUGGGUAGACAAACAUCAAAGAUGGAAAUAAAACAGGGAGAUGGCAAUCAUUUGACAAUCUAUGGUAUCAUUGUAAGAGACACGUUACACAAAAGCCAAAGAAGAAAAGGUUUGAAAGGAGGUGCCAAAAGGUGAACACAAGUAUUGUUCUUCAGUACCUGAAACAGAGCAGUCUAGUUCUCCAGUGUCUCUUCAAACAAAUGAUCAGAAAGUUUAAAAGCAGGGGGUGGAUGGGAAUUUAGGUGGGAGAAAAGAAAGGGGAGGGAAUUGUUGCUCUCCCUCAAAAGGAACAGACCAUUUGAUACUCUAACCUCCCAUUGAAUAUACCUUUCGUUUUCUCUCUCUGACACUUAAACCUGAGUGGUUAAAACACUGUAAUUAGAAGUUCAACUGAUUCAGUAGUCUUGCUGGAAUUACUUUAAUUGUUAUUAAUUGUUGUUAUAGUAAUUACGUGGAGGUGUCCUAGUCUAGAGAAGAGUAUUCUACUAAACCAAACUUGGCUUGAGUAUAAUGAUAAAUAAAAGUCAAGUCAGUCUCAAUGCAACUUAUGUCACUUCGCUAUAUUAUAACUCGACUAUCGCUUGCCAGUCAAAGACGUGGCCAAUUACAAAGCAACAACUUGGCAAAGGCCAUUGCCAAACUAAUGGAAUAUCAGAAAACACCUGCAAUAGUUUAUGAAUAAUAACACAAACGUCACCCAAUUACACAACUAUUUCACAAUUAAAAAAAUGUUUUAAAAAAACGAAUGGCAAGCAGUCUGGUGCUCCCACUGACUAACGUGUGGAACUCAUAACGUUAGCUAGUUUGCAUGUGAUUGAUUGCAUGACUGGGACAGCUAGCUAUUCACUCUUAUUUCAACCACAAUGAAUUAGAAAUCUUUGGAAAAUUGCAAUACUUGAACAUCUGCAUAUUGUUGAUGCUAACUAGCUCACAUUCUAAGUAAGUCAGAAAUCGAGUUUUUCAGAAAACAAAUGCUGGUUAGUCCAUAACGAGCUGGGUACAUCAAGUCCAAUGUAUUAAGUUAACUUCAGACAAUUAACAGUUAACUACCUAUCCAACUAAGCAUGAGUACAAUUUCCACGUCACCUUUUUGUCAUUUCCCAUGUGGGACGUGUUGUCUGCUUUCUGGAAAGCAGCUUUGAUAUGAUGACUGGUCUCCACUCUCACUUUUCUUCCUCUCCCGUUUUUCACACCGGUGUCAGUACCUCACUGUAUGUCCAGUUCCCAUUUUCCGCUCUAUCACCCCUCACUACCUCGAAUCCGCCAUUUAGCUAGAUGUUUUAUUAUUUUUUUAUAUCAACAAAAUAAUUCACCGAGAUGAAUUUGCGAUGAUGAUAAUCAUCAUCCUCCUCUUCACCACUGCUCUUCUACCAAUUCCGCCCAAGCCCGUGUCUGUUUCACUGGCUCUUGACGUUAUUUUUCAUUUAACACCAACACCAAAUUGUACACUCU